Molecule: ribosomal RNA, 326 nt
Filed under: uncultured eukaryote
Lineage: Eukaryota
Description: partial 18S ribosomal RNA
Rfam family: Eukaryotic small subunit ribosomal RNA
Source: RNAcentral
CCCUUAGAUGUUCUGGGCCGCACGCGCGCUACACUGAUGCAUUCAACAAGCCUAGCCUUGACCGAGAGGUCCGGGUAAUCUUUGAAACUGCAUCGUGAUGGGGCUAGAUUAUUGCAAUUAUUAAUCUUCAACGAGGAAUGCCUAGUAAGCGUGAUUCAUCAAAUCGCGUUGAUUAUGUCCCUGCCCUUUGUACACACCGCCCGUCGCUCCUACCGAUUGAAUGUGUUGGUGAGGAGCUCGGAUUGGCAGCAGUUGGUGGUUCGCCACCGGCUAUUGCUGAGAAGUCCUCCAAACCGCCCCAUUUAGAGGAAGGAGAANUCGUAACA